RNAcentral lists this ribosomal RNA (293 nucleotides) under uncultured eukaryote. RNAcentral's name for it is "partial 18S ribosomal RNA". It matches the Rfam family "Eukaryotic small subunit ribosomal RNA", at positions 6 to 301 of the family's 1831-position model. The record is from RNAcentral.
GGUUGAUCCUGCCAGUAGUCAUAUGCUUGUCUAAAAGAUUAAGCCAUGCACGUCUAUGUAUAAAUGUAUUUUAUACAUGAAACUGCGCAUAGCUCAUUAAACCAGUUAUAGUUUAUUUGAUGUUGACUUACUAAUUGGAUAACCGUAGUAAUUCUAGAGCUAAUACAUGCCAAAAAGGCCCGACCGUAUGGAAGGGUUGUAUUUAUUAGAUAAAAAACCAAUCUCGCAAGAGUUUGUGGUGAUUCAUAAUAACUGUUCGAAUCGCAUGCCGCAAGGUGGCGAUAGAUCAUUCA